UACAGCAACCAAAAUUCCAUUAGGCCUAGGGUUAGGGUUUGUGAGAUGGGCGACCGUACAAGCUCUGCUGUGACUAAGCCAAUAUGGAUGAAGCAAGCGGAAGAGGCAAAGAUCAAGAGCGAGGCUGAAAAAGCCGCCGCCGCCAAAGCUGCCUUCGAAGCCACAUUCAAGGAUGCCGCCUCCGCCUCCGCUCCUGCGGUGGCCGACUCCUCCUCUUCUGACAGUGACGACGCUGAAGAAGACGCCGAGAGUCGCCUCGCCAGCAAGCCCAUCGGCCCCGUCGACCCCUCCAAAUGCACGGCUGCCGGCGCUGGAAUUGCGGGCGGGGCCGCCUGUUCGGCUUCGUCGUUCGUCGUCGUGACCAAGGAUUCCGAUGGCAGAAAGGUUCCCAAUGGUGGCGCUCAGAUUAGGGUUAGGGUUUCGCCUGGAGUGGGCGUCGGCGGAUCGGACCAGGAGGGCAUCAUCAAGGACCAAGGCGAUGGCAGCUACACUGUCACAUAUGUAGUGUCCAAGAGAGGGAAUUAUAUGGUACACGUUGAGUGUAACGGCAAGCCCAUUAUGGGUAGUCCCUUUCCAGUUUUCUUCAGUGCAGGUACUGCUAGUGGAGGAUUGUUGGGUUUGGCUCCUGCAUCUACUUUUCCUAAUCUAGUUAACCAGACAAUGCCCAAUAUGCCAAAUUAUUCAGGGUCUGUUUCGGGGGCAUUCCCCGGAUUACUUGGAAUGAUUCCAGGCAUUGUUCCUGGUGCUUCAGGAGGAGCAGUUUUACCUGGGAUUGGAGCAUCCCUUGGUGAAGUUUGUCGAGAGUACCUUAAUGGACGUUGUGCCAAAACUGAUUGCAAGUUUAAUCACCCACCUCACAAUUUGCUGAUGACUGCAUUAGCUGCAACCACCACCAUGGGAACCCUCAGUCAAGUUCCGAUGGCUCCUUCUGCAGCUGCAAUGGCUGCUGCUCAGGCAAUUGUUGCUGCCCAAGCCCUUCAAGCUCAUGCUGCUCAGGUUCAAGCACAAGCCCAGUCAGCCAAAGACUCAGCUGGCUCUCCAGAUAAAGUGGGGAAGGCUGAUGCUCUUAAAAAAACACUACAAGUCAGCAAUCUCAGCCCCCUUCUAACUGUGGAACAGUUGAAACAGCUUUUUAGUUUCUGUGGCACAGUUGUCGAAUGUAGCAUCACUGAUUCAAAGCAUUUUGCAUAUAUAGAAUACUCAAAACCAGAAGAAGCAACUGCUGCUUUGGCAUUGAACAAUAUGGAUGUUGGAGGUCGCCCAUUAAAUGUUGAGAUGGCAAAGUCACUCCCUCCAAAACCAGCUAUAUUAAAUUCUCCACUGGCUUCACCUUCUCUGCCCAUGGUAAUGCAGCAAGCAGUUGCCAUGCAACAGAUGCAAUUUCAGCAGGCUCUGCUUAUGCAACAAACAAUGACUGCACAGCAGGCAGCUAAUCGAGCUGCAACCAUGAAGUCAGCAACAGAAUUAGCAUCAGCUAGAGCUGCAGAAAUAAGUAAAAAGCUAAAAGCUGAUGGAUUUGUAGAGGAAGAGAAGGAAGAAAAGGAAGAAAAUAAAAAAUCUAGGUCGCCAUCCAUAUCUCGUGCAAGGUCAAAAUCCAGGUCAAAAUCACCUCUCCACUACCGGCGACGGCGGAGAUCUCGUUCUUUUUCACCUCCAUCCCGGUACUCAAGAGACCACAGAUCUAGAUCACCAUUUAGAUCUCAUCACUACUCAAUUCAUGACCAUGGAAGCAGGUCAUAUAGAGACAAUAAAGAUGGCAGUGAUAGAUCUAGAAGGCGGGAUUUGGAUAGAUCACAUGAUCAUCAUUUAUCUAGCUCAAGGAGAAAUAGGAGUAGGAGUCGAAGCCCUAGAUCUAGAAAAUCAUAUCGAGCUGAUUCAGAAUCACCAAAACGCCGUGUAGAGAGUUCAUCACAUAGAACCAGGAAAUCAUCUCGUGUUAGUCCAAAAUCACCAAGACAUCACAGGGGAAAUAGGUCAUCACCUAGAAAUGAUGAUGACAACAAAUCAAAACGGAGAAGGCGGUCCCGGUCAAAAUCUGUGGAAGGUAAGCAUUAUUCUAAUGAAAAAAUAGAUGAAAGACGAGAUAAAAAAUCAAAGCAUCGUGACAGAAGGCGGUCCAGGUCAAUAUCAGCAGAGGGAAAGCAUCAUAAAGGAAGUGGGUCCUCCCCACGAAGUUUUGAUGACAGCAAAUCAAAGCAUAGAAAGCGAUCCAGGUCAAAAUCUGCAGAAGGUAAGCGUGUUUUAAGUGACAAAACAGAUGAAGGCAGAGAUGAGAAAUGGAAGCAUCAUGACAAGAGGCGUUCCAGGUCACGAUCAGCAGAAGGUAAGUACUGUAGACUAAAUAGGUUAUCUCCUAAAAGUUCUGAUGAAAUCAGACCAAAACAUAGAAGACAUUCAAGGUCAAGAUCUGCAGAAUAUAGGCGUUCAGAUAAUAAAGGAGAUGAAAAAUUAAUGCAUCACAAGGAACCAAAAGAACGUGAAGUCACCGAGGACUUGAAGGAACCAAGCAAACAUAAGAUGCCAAAAAUAGAGGACAUGGAGCUGGCCACAACAGGAGUGGAAGACCAAGGUGGAGGUGAAAAAUCAGCUGAGGUGGUUGGCAGAACUGGUUUCAGCGAGGGUCAGGGUUAUGUCAAUGAUGACGGGAAGGAUAAAUCAGAAAACUUGAUGAUUGCAGAUCCCCCUGCUUUGAAUGUUCAUAUCACCAACACUGUGUCAUCUGAUGCAGAUUUGAGUUAUGGGGUCUUCAGGGCAGAAGAUGUUAAUCGAAACAAAGAAGAUGUCAAUGAAUGGGACAUCUAUGAGAAGAGCUCUGGUCUUGUUUGAGGAGACGGUUGAGACCCUCCACUACAAAUUUAUCCAAGUUUGAGUUCUGAGCAAUGAGUCCUGCUUCUGCAAAGAAGGGCUGCUUGCUUAGAAGAUUGCUUAGUGCUUCUUUUGGUGCUCAGAAUUUUCUGUAGGUUGGGGAACUUCAUAAAAUUGCAUCUUGUGUUUGUUUAUCUUGUGCAGGUUCAUGGGGAACAUAUUGGAACUAGGGUGUCUGAGCUGAUCUUAAUAUGGUGAAAAGUAAUUCAGAAGUGUUACUGCCCCAAAUCUGGUACCAACCAUGCAAUAUUUGUACUACUGUUUCUAUGAUGUAUGGUGGACUAUAAUCUCUUAUCACUAGGUACUGAAUUUCUUGAACAGAAGUGUUUUAAGGUUUGUUAUGACAACACAUGUCCUUGUUUUCCUUUAAGAUAACAUUCUGCUGUUGUUGUCAGAAGUUAGAACGAUUUUUAUGAAGCCUUGACAUCCUUGAUAAAUUGUAGCAUAGGAAUUAAAUCUUCAGUUAUUGUGGGGAUCUAAAUAGGUUAUUGAAUAAAUGUUGUAUGUGCUGAAGAUAAGCAUGCUUGAUUUGAAGGUGAAUCUGCACCUUAGGUUUUAUAUGGUGGCUUCUGUUGGAGGUUUCUCACAUCAAUUUGGCUGGGUUGAUUUUCUCUGUUUGUAAAUGAAGGUAAGCUUGUUUUAAGGUCCAGUGAAAUCAGAUGUUGCUGGGAUGCAUAGCUUUGCAAAUGCACUUUGUUGAAUAUGAGCAGAUUGGCUGAUUUACUGUACUUUUAGUUCAUGAUGAAAUGCGAGUAUUGAGUAUAGCAGGGUAAGCUAUGGAUAUGAUGAAUUGAGAGGUGAAGCCCUUGAUCUCAACAGCGGGCACAAUGCACUUGCAUGAAGUGUCAGCAAAUUUUUGGUCCAAACUCUCUUCUGUAGUUGAAAUGUGGAAGGUGAAUGGAAAAGACACCAAGCUGAGGUGAUUUUGCAUCGAUAUUCCUUCCAUUUUAAGUUCUCUCUUGUCUGCAGCUGCUGAAUGUGGCUCAUAGCUAUAUCCUGCACUUUUCCUGUUGCUCUUCACUACUCACUAGAGUACAUUUAUCCAGAAUGUCACCACAACUAAAAUACCCUCUUAGUUGAGAUGGCAUUAAAUGAAAUAAUUUGUAUUCCCCCCUGGUUCUGAAAGAGAAUCGAGUUUGAGGGAGCGGUCUUGUUUGUUAUGGAAAAAAACCUCACUGGGAGGUUGAUCAUUUAGUAGCAGUAUUCGUCUUACUUUCCGA
RNA transcript from Vitis riparia (riverbank grape), 4085 nucleotides. RefSeq lists it as uncharacterized. The transcript is spliced from 8 exons. NCBI's taxonomy places the organism in Eukaryota, Viridiplantae, Streptophyta, Magnoliopsida, Vitales, Vitaceae. The record is from RefSeq and is a predicted model, not a curated record.